GUCUACAGCCAUACCACCCUGAGUCUGCCAGAUCUCAGAAGCUAAGCAGGGUUGGGCCUGAUUAGUACUUGGAUGGGCAAACAACAAAGAAUGAUGAACAGCAGCACCCA
RNAcentral lists this ribosomal RNA (110 nucleotides) under Cebus imitator (Panamanian white-faced capuchin). Lineage: Eukaryota; Metazoa; Chordata; Mammalia; Primates; Cebidae. The record is from RNAcentral.